This 707-nucleotide ribosomal RNA is filed under the name uncultured Gemmatimonadota bacterium. RNAcentral's name for it is "bacterial SSU rRNA". It matches the Rfam family "Bacterial small subunit ribosomal RNA", at positions 65 to 782 of the family's 1533-position model. Lineage: Bacteria; Pseudomonadati; Gemmatimonadota. The record is from RNAcentral.
GGGGGCCCAGCAAUGGGCAACCGGCGAACGGGUGCGUAACACGUGAGCAACCUACCGAACUGUGGGGGAUAGCCGGCCUAACGGCCGAGUAAUACCGCAUACGCUCUCAGCGAGGCAUUUCAUUGAGAGGAAACCUACGGGACAGAUCGAGGGGCUCGCGGCCUAUCAGCUAGUUGGCGAGGUAACGGCUCACCAAGGCAACGACGGGUAGCUGGUCUGAGAGGAUGGCCAGCCACAUUGGGACUGAGAUACGGCCCAGACUCCUACGGGAGGCAGCAGUGGGGAAUCUUGCGCAAUGGCCUAACGGCUGACGCAGCGACGCCGCGUGUGGGAUGAAGCUCUUCGGAGUGUAAACCACUGUUGCCCGGGACGAAUAGCUCGAUUAAUCGAGCCUGACGGUACCGGGUGAGGAAGCACCGGCUAACUCCGUGCCAGCAGCCGCGGUAAUACGGGGGGUGCGAGCGUUGUCCGGAAUCACUGGGCGUAAAGGGCGCGUAGGUGGUUUGAUAAGGGUGUGGUGAAAGUCCGGGGCUCAACCCCGGAUCUGCCGUGCCGACUGUCAAACUCGAGGACUGUAGAGGCAGACGGAAUUCCGGGUGUAGCGGUGGGAAUGCGUAGAGAUCCGGAGGAAGACCGGUGGCGAAGGCGGUCUGCUGGGCAGUUUCUGACACUGAGGCGCGACAGCGUGGGGAGCAAACAGGAUUAGA